Molecule: ribosomal RNA, 469 nt
Filed under: uncultured bacterium
Lineage: Bacteria
Description: partial 16S ribosomal RNA
Rfam family: Bacterial small subunit ribosomal RNA
Source: RNAcentral
GACGAACGCUGGCGGCGUGCUUAACACAUGCAAGUCGAACGGAAAGGCCCUGCUUUUGUGGGGUGCUCGAGUGGCGAACGGGUGAGUAACACGUGAGUAACCUGCCCUUGACUUUGGGAUAACUUCAGGAAACUGGGGCUAAUACCGGAUAGGAGCUCCUGCUGCAUGGUGGGGGUUGGAAAGUUUCGGCGGUUGGGGAUGGACUCGCGGCUUAUCAGCUUGUUGGUGGGGUGGUGGCUUACCAAGGCUUUGACGGGUAGCCGGCCUGAGAGGGUGACCGGCCACAUUGGGACUGAGAUACGGCCCAGACUCCUACGGGAGGCAGCAGUGGGGAAUAUUGCACAAUGGGCGGAAGCCUGAUGCAGCAACGCCGCGUGCGGGAUGACGGCCUUCGGGUUGUAAACCGCUUUCGCCUGUGACGAAGCGUGAGUGACGGUAAUGGGUAAAGAAGCACCGGCUAACUACGUGC